RNAcentral lists this long non-coding RNA (3347 nucleotides) under Gossypium barbadense (sea-island cotton). RNAcentral describes it as "long non-coding RNA (GBAR_LNC019225)". The record is from RNAcentral. Lineage: Eukaryota; Viridiplantae; Streptophyta; Magnoliopsida; Malvales; Malvaceae.
UUAGUAAAAUUUAGCUUUGAGAAACGCGGUUUGUUUUCAAAAAUUCAACAUUUUGCUAAUAGAGUAAUUAUAAUUUAAAAUGAUUAAACGAUUCAAAAAAACAGAAAACCAAAAGUCCAAAACAAAAAUAAUCCCAAGAGUCCAAAAUAGUCCAACAGUAUCAAAAUAGAGUAAACAAAGUUUAAAGUAACACAAAUUAAAUGUGUUUAUCUGAGCUCCCGUCGCACCGACCCGUCCUAUGUCUAAGGAUUACCUGAGAAUCAAGCAAACAGAGAAUGAGCUUACAAGCAGUAUGUAACUUACUAUAAUUAAAAUAGUAGAUAAAAUUCAGAACAUGCAUUCAGAUACCAAUUAGACGAAUUUCAUAGACAGAAAUAGAAACAGAUGCAUAUCAGAUACAGAUACAGAUUAAUUUCCUACCCCCAUCUGCUACACACCAGCUCUGACCAUCCCUGCACACCAAUUAGGGUAUUAAAUACCCAAUUAGCCCUACACACCAAUUAGUGUCUGUAUGACACUUUUCAGAAUAUUUGUAGCCUAGCUACCAGAUCAAUAGGCGAUAUACUGCCAAAUAUGGAUAUACGUAGCUGAGCCACAAAAUUAGGCAGAUAAAUUAAACUAUCAGCAAUUCCUCCAUAAACAUAUUUCUCACCCCAAUGCAUAUGCAAAACUAGACAAUAUCACAUAUGUGCACGACAUGCAUGUUUUUCACAUCUGAUUAGAUCAUACCUAGCAUAUAACAGAACAUGCUAUCACAUAUAACAUACCACUCAUCCGUUUGCUAGUCAUAUUAAGCAAUAACAGAGUAUCAAAAAUCAUGGUUUAUAGGCAAUUUUAUACCAUAUGGGCCCUAUAGAAAGGUUAUAUUCGAUUCGCACGACAACCAGAACCCUAGGGAAAAUUUUCAGAAUUUAGGCCCACACGCCCGUGUGGCAUCGACAGUCUCAAUUUUGGCUUUCAGUCGUUCGCUAAUUUCUUGAGUUUUCGUUACACACUUCAUCUGAUUUUGAUUCGAUUGCAACCAUGAGAUUUCCAGAACCUAAAAAUAAUAAUUAAACCACCAAUUAAGACGAUUCCCACACCCAAUUCACAAAAAUUGAUAUAUCAAACAUCAAAUUUUAAACGAAGAAUUUCAACCUAAAACCCCAAUUUGACUCCUUAUCUUCAAGAAACAGCAGAACACCAAUGAUUCUAGGUUUCUGAAGAAUUAAUUGCCUUUCCAACUUCACCUAGAAAGUCAAACAAUUAAUCAUACAGAACAUAUUUAACCCACAACUAACAAAAAGAACAAUAAGAACAAACUCACUUAAUACAAGAGAAAACUUAAUGGCAGAUACACAAGUAAUUGAUUACGCUUAAUGGCAAUUGAUUUGCAGAAAGAAAAGGAAAAGAACAAAGUGUAGAACCGCACAAGAAAAAAAAGAAAAGAAACUAGCAAUUGGGAAAAAAUAAAAGUGGGAACUGAGGGAGAGGAAAGUGGAGAAUAAACAGAGGACACCUUACCACUAAACCAGCAGGCUCAUUUUAUCACAAGUUUAGUGGAAAUAGUAUUUAAGUCAAAUAAAAAGAGGUAGGGAUAGGACCUCAAACACACAUCCAAUGCAUUUAACCAUUGAACCAAAUCAAUUACUUAGACAAAAUUUAACAAAUCAAAACUUAGAUUUUGGGGGCAUUACAACACUUAUCAAGCAUUCCAUUUCAUAAUCAAUUCAAUGAAAUUCUAACAUGCCUCAUUUUCAUAAUAAUUUCUUAUGCAAUUUAACAUGUUACAAGAGGAAUUUUUCAAUACAUGUAUAACAAGCUCUCAACAGUACAUUCCAUGGCAUUUCACUUAAGCAUACAAUUCAACCAUUCAAUAGUUUUACUUUUGUAAUAUUAAUACAUGUUAUGCAUUCAACCAACAAUCAUUUUAUUUUCAAAUCAUCCAUGUUAUUUCAUACUGAUACCACUCGUAUAAAUAGUCAUUCAACCAUGCUAAUCUUGCACGAAUUCCAUUUAAUUAGGGCUUGAAAUGUACCUGAUUUAACCACCUUAAAAUUGUUUCCUUAGCCAUUUAAAAAGUCGUACCAACAAGGUUAAACAUCAAUUUAACCACUAAAAAUAUAAUUUAAACAGACAAGUUUACAGGUUAGAACACAAACCUUAAUUUCACAAAACCGCAGUACUACUUGUGAAAUCUACGCUUCCUUCACCAAACUUAAACGUACCUAAACCAAAAUCCAACUUUAAUAGAGUUAGGAUGUUGUCAAACCAGCCUUAAAACACCCUCUAAGGGUUUAGGCAAAUCAUUGUUACAAGGCCUUAAUUACAAAUCCAAAUCAGUUGAAUCAAUUACAAUGAUAUGGUGCGAAGCGAGAGCGUGGACGAAAAAUGGCUUCACUGCUGUUCUAGGAUGUUUAAAUCAAUGCCUAACACAUUAAAAUGCUAAAAAAUCAGUAGCUAAUCAUCCAUUUAAAACCUUAAAAUUAGUAGCUAAUCAAUAGUUGAUUAGGAUAGGAUAAAAUAGAUCUACCCUUGCCGGAAAAUACUCGAAAAAAUUGUGAAAAAUUAGCAGCUCUUAAUGGCAGAUCUAGGAGCAAAGCACCAGCAUAAUUGGCCACAUAGGGGCGGUUUUGCAAAACACCAAGGAGAUUUGUUUAAAAGCUGAUAAAGGAAUAUCUUUAGACUUGAAAAUUAGUAAAAAUAAAGGCUGAAAUAGUAGUGUAUUUUACUAAAUAAAUAACAUACUGUUGCUCAAUAAAAUGAAAAACUUUAGGGGUAACAACAACCACUGACGGUAGCAAUUUUUGGGAUAAUUUUGGCAAGUUCAAAAGGAAUGUUUUAGGGCUAGAAAUAAUUUUUUAAAAUUAGUAUAGAAAACAGAAAUUUUAAGAUAUGAUUUUGAAAACAAAACAAUAGGAAAAUGGUGUAGAAAAAUGAGAGAAUCAAGCACAUACUCUAGCAAGUUAAAGGGGCGAAAAUGGAGAUCUUUGUGGCAACAGUGGGAUCCAAUUUUUGAGUGGUUCAAGAGACUAAUUCAAGGUUGAAAAAAUAAUGAAAUAAAAUCGAAAGGGAGGAAGAAAAAUGACAAAAAUUAGCACCAGUGGAGAAGGGAAGGACGCCAAGGAAAAAUGAGUUUGGUGGGCGACACAAUGAAGGAGAAAAGAAGAAAAUUGAAAAAGGGAUAAAAGAGAAAAGGAAGGGGUGGCUAAGGUUGGAAAAAGGAUGACUAAAAGAUGAAAAAUAAAUGAAAAAGUGAUAUUUAUACCUAGAUUAACUAGGCAUGGGCAGCACAAAAAUAGGGGAAAGGAGGAAAAUUAGCAAAAGUAUGCUAUUUUGCAAGGGAAUAGAAUCAAACUUGAAUCCUU